Molecule: small nucleolar RNA, 104 nt
Filed under: Neonectria ditissima
Lineage: Eukaryota; Fungi; Ascomycota; Sordariomycetes; Hypocreales; Nectriaceae
Description: A. fumigatus snoRNA Afu_304
Rfam family: A. fumigatus snoRNA Afu_304
Source: Rfam by way of RNAcentral
UUGCAUGAUGACAAAAGGCCUUACCGGCCUGAAUCUUAACCCAGCUCGUCGAUUGCCUUGAGUAACGCCGAGGCAUUUAUGAGAAUAAAAACCCGCUCUGAUCG